This is a non-coding RNA of Ixodes scapularis (black-legged tick), 82 nucleotides long. The record is from Rfam. Lineage: Eukaryota; Metazoa; Arthropoda; Arachnida; Ixodida; Ixodidae.
GCAGUUGUGGCCGAGUAGUUAAGGCGAUGGACUAGAAAUCCAUUGGGGUGUCCCAGCACAGGUACAAAUCCUGUCGACUGCG